RNAcentral lists this signal recognition particle RNA (97 nucleotides) under Candidatus Nanopelagicus abundans. RNAcentral's name for it is "Bacterial small signal recognition particle RNA". It matches the Rfam family "Bacterial small signal recognition particle RNA". From Rfam's summary of the family: The signal recognition particle (SRP) is a universally conserved ribonucleoprotein involved in the co-translational targeting of proteins to membranes. The record is from Rfam by way of RNAcentral. Lineage: Bacteria; Bacillati; Actinomycetota; Actinomycetes; Candidatus Nanopelagicales; Candidatus Nanopelagicaceae.
UUAGAUCCCCCGUGCGGCACUUGGGUGCCGAACUCCCCCAGGGCAGGAAUGCAGCAAGGGUAGGUAAUUUUUAGUGGGUGUGCGGGGGAUCCUUAUU